GCCGAAGGGGGCUAGCGUUGUUCGGAAUUACUGGGCGUAAAGCGCGUGUAGGCGGUUUCCCAAGUCGGGUGUGAAAGCCUUGAGCUCAACUCAAGAAAUGCACUCGGUACUGGGUGACUAGAGGACCGGAGAGGAUAGUGGAAUUCCCAGUGUAGUGGUGAAAUACGUAGAGAUUGGGAAGAACACCAGUGGCGAAGGCGGCUAUCUGGACGGUUUCUGACGCUAAGACGCGAAAGCGUGGGGAGCAAACAGG
This 253-nucleotide ribosomal RNA is filed under the name uncultured bacterium. RNAcentral describes it as "partial 16S ribosomal RNA". It matches the Rfam family "Bacterial small subunit ribosomal RNA", at positions 524 to 776 of the family's 1533-position model. The record is from RNAcentral.